UACAGAGGGUGCGAGCGUUAAUCGGAUUUACUGGGCGUAAAGCGCACGUAGGCGGCUUGGUAUGUCGGGUGUGAAAUCCCCGGGCUCAACCUGGGAACUGCAUUCGAAACUGCCUUGCUAGAGGAUGGGAGAGGGAAGUGGAAUUUCCGGUGUAGCGGUGAAAUGCGUAGAUAUCGGAAGGAACAUCAGUGGCGAAGGCGACUUCCUGGACCAAUACUGACGCUCAGGUGCGAAAGCGUGGGGAGCAAACAGG
RNAcentral lists this ribosomal RNA (253 nucleotides) under uncultured bacterium. Its description in RNAcentral is "partial 16S ribosomal RNA". It matches the Rfam family "Bacterial small subunit ribosomal RNA", at positions 524 to 776 of the family's 1533-position model. The record is from RNAcentral.